GCAUUCCCCGGUAGCUCAGCGGUAGAGUGGCUCGCUGUUAACGAGACGGUCGCAGGUUCGAUCCCUGCCCGGAGGCA
This 77-nucleotide transfer RNA is filed under the name bacterium. RNAcentral's name for it is "tRNA-Asn". It matches the Rfam family "tRNA". Rfam says of the family: Transfer RNA (tRNA) molecules are approximately 80 nucleotides in length. Their secondary structure includes four short double-helical elements and three loops (D, anti-codon, and T loops). The record is from RNAcentral.